GACCAACGCUGGCGGCGUGCUUAACACAUGCCAGUCGAACGGAAAGGCCCUGCUUUUGUGGGGUGCUCGAGUGGCGAACGGGUGAGUAACACGUGAGUAACCUGCCCUUGACUUUGGGAUAACUUCAGGAAACUGGGGCUAAUACCGGAUAGGAGCUCCUGCUGCAUGGUGGGGGUUGGAAAGUUUCGGCGGUUGGGGAUGGACUCGCGGCUUAUCAGCUUGUUGGUGGGGUAGUGGCUUACCAAGGCUUUGACGGGUAGCCGGCCUGAGAGGGUGACCGGCCACAUUGGGACUGAGAUACGGCCCAGACCCCUACGGGAGGCAGCAGUGGGGAAUAUUGCACAAUGGGCGGAAGCCUGAUGCAGCAACGCCGCGUGCGGGAUGACGGCCUUCGGGUUGUAAACCGCUUUCGCCUGUGACGAAGCGUGAGUGACGGUAAUGGGUAAAGAAGCACCGGCUAACUACGUG
Molecule: ribosomal RNA, 468 nt
Filed under: uncultured bacterium
Lineage: Bacteria
Description: partial 16S ribosomal RNA
Rfam family: Bacterial small subunit ribosomal RNA
Source: RNAcentral